This 349-nucleotide ribosomal RNA is filed under the name Galeommatoidea sp. MN19401. RNAcentral's name for it is "partial 16S ribosomal RNA". It matches the Rfam family "Archaeal large subunit ribosomal RNA", at positions 1954 to 2584 of the family's 2987-position model. The record is from RNAcentral. Lineage: Eukaryota; Metazoa; Mollusca; Bivalvia; Galeommatida.
CCCGGUGAUAUUUAAACGGCCGCAGUUGAGAGCUGUGCUAAGGUAGCGUAGUAAGUUGUCCUUUAAAUGGGGAAAGGAAUGAAUGGUUUGACGUGAGAAUACCUGUCUCUGGAAAAAUUGGAAAAAUUUUCUUCCCAGUGAAAAGCCUGGGAUAGUAAUAAAAGACGAGAAGACCCUUUCGAGCUUGAUAAGGGUGAAAAAUUUUUUUAGGCUGAAGUUUGGUUGGGGCAACUUAGGAGCAAGAGAAGACUCCUUGAGGGUUAUGAAGAUCCAAAUGUUUUGACAAAGAGAAAAAGCUACCGUAGGGAUAACAGCGUUAUCUUUUCUGAGAGAACAAAUUGAAGGGAAG